GUCUUUUCUUGCAGUCGAUGCGCAGCGAGAGGUGCUUGCACCUUUCAAGCGAGUGGCGAACGGGUGAGUAACACGUGGAUAACCUGCCUCAAGGCUGGGGAUAACAUUUGGAAACAGAUGCUAAUACCGAAUAAAACUUAGUAUCGCAUGAUACAAAGUUAAAAGGCGCUACGGCGUCACCUAGAGAUGGAUCCGCGGUGCAUUAGUUAGUUGGUGGGGUAAAGGCUUACCAAGACAAUGAUGCAUAGCCGAGUUGAGAGACUGAUCGGCCACAUUGGGACUGAGACACGGCCCAAACUCCUACGGGAGGCUGCAGUAGGGAAUCUUCCACAAUGGGCGCAAGCCUGAUGGAGCAACGCCGCGUGUGUGAUGAAGGCUUUCGGGUCGUAAAGCACUGUUGUAUGGGAAGAAAUGCUAAAAUAGGGAAUGAUUUUAGUUUGACGGUACCAUACCAGAAAGGGACGGCUAAAUACGUGCCAGCAGCCGCGGUAAUACGUAUGUCCCGAGCGUUAUCCGGAUUUAUUGGGCGUAAAGCGAGCGCAGACGGUUGAUUAAGUCUGAUGUGAAAGCCCGGAGCUCAACUCCGGAAUGGCAUUGGAAACUGGUUAACUUGAGUGUUGUAGAGGUAAGUGGAACUCCAUGUGUAGCGGUGGAAUGCGUAGAUAUAUGGAAGAACACCAGUGGCGAAGGCGGCUUACUGGACAACAACUGACGUUGAGGCUCGAAAGUGUGGGUAGCAAACAGGAUUAGAUACCCUGGUAGUCCACACCGUAAACGAUGAAUACUAGGUGUUAGGAGGUUUCCGCCUCUUAGUGCCGAAGCUAACGCAUUAAGUAUUCCGCCUGGGGAGUACGACCGCAAGGUUGAAACUCAAAGGAAUUGACGGGGACCCGCACAAGCGGUGGARCAUGUGGKUUAAUUCGAAGCAACGCGAAGAACCUUACCAGGUCUUGACAUCCUUUGAAGCUUUUAGAGAUAGAAGUGUUCUCUUCGGAGACAAAGUGACAGGUGGUGCAUGGUCGUCGUCAGCUCGUGUCGUGAGAUGUUGGGUUAAGUCCCGCAACGAGCGCAACCCUUAUUGUUAGUUGCCAGCAUUCAGUUGGGCACUCUAGCGAGACUGCCGGUGACAAACCGGAGGAAGGCGGGGACGACGUCAGAUCAUCAUGCCCCUUAUGACCUGGGCUACACACGUGCUACAAUGGCGUAUACAACGAGUUGCCAACCUGCGAAGGUGAGCUAAUCUCUUAAAGUACGUCUCAGUUCGGACUGCAGUCUGCAACUCGACUGCACGAAGUCGGAAUCGCUAGUAAUCGCGGAUCAGCACGCCGCGGUGAAUACGUUCCCGGGUCUUGUACACACCGCCCGUCACACCAUGGGAGUUUGUAAUGCCCAAAGCCGGUGGCCUAACCUUCGGGAGGACGUGAAGUAAGA
RNAcentral lists this ribosomal RNA (1431 nucleotides) under Leuconostoc citreum. RNAcentral's name for it is "bacterial SSU rRNA". Lineage: Bacteria; Bacillati; Bacillota; Bacilli; Lactobacillales; Lactobacillaceae. The record is from RNAcentral.